AUUGAACGCUGGCGGCAUGCCUUACACAUGCAAGUCGAACGGCAGCACGGGAGCAAUCCUGGUGGCGAGUGGCGAACGGGUGAGUAAUAUAUCGGAACGUGCCCAGUCGUGGGGGAUAACGUAGCGAAAGCUACGCUAAUACCGCAUACGAUCUAUGGAUGAAAGCGGGGGAUCGCAAGACCUCGCGCGAUUGGAGCGGCAGAUAUCAGAUUAGGUAGUUGGUGAGGUAAAGGCUCACCACGCCGACGAUCUGUAGCUGGUCUGAGAGGACGACCAGCCACACUGGGACUGAGACACGGCCCAGACUCCUACGGGAGGCAGCAGUGGGGAAUUUUGGACAAUGGGCGCAAGCCUGAUCCAGCAAUGCCGCGUGCAGGAUGAAGGCCUUCGGGUUGUAAACUGCUUUUGUACGGAACGAAACGGUGAGCUCUAAUACAGUUUGCUAAUGACGGUACCGUAAGAAUAAGCACCGGCUAACUACGUGCCAGCAGCCGCCGUAA
RNAcentral lists this ribosomal RNA (500 nucleotides) under uncultured bacterium. RNAcentral's name for it is "partial 16S ribosomal RNA". It matches the Rfam family "Bacterial small subunit ribosomal RNA", at positions 30 to 523 of the family's 1533-position model. The record is from RNAcentral.